Molecule: ribosomal RNA, 493 nt
Filed under: uncultured bacterium
Lineage: Bacteria
Description: partial 16S ribosomal RNA
Rfam family: Bacterial small subunit ribosomal RNA
Source: RNAcentral
AGUGAACGCUGGCGGUAGGCCUAACACAUGCAAGUCGAACGGCAGCACAGUAAGAGCUUGCUCUUACGGGUGGCGAGUGGCGGACGGGUGAGGAAUACAUCGGAAUCUACUUUUUCGUGGGGGAUAACGUAGGGAAACUUACGCUAAUACCGCAUACGACCUACGGGUGAAAGCAGGGGAUCUUCGGACCUUGCGCGAUUGAAUGAGCCGAUGUCGGAUUAGCUAGUUGGCGGGGUAAAGGCCCACCAAGGCGACGAUCCGUAGCUGGUCUGAGAGGAUGAUCCGCCAAACUGGGACUGGGACACGGUCCAGACUCCUACGGGAGGCAGCAGUGGGGAAUAUUGGACAAUGGGCGCAAGCCUGAUCCAGCCAUACCGCGUGGGUGAAGAAGGCCUUCGGGUUGGAAAGCCCUUUUUGUUGGGAAAGAAAAGCAGCAGGUUAAUACCCCGCUGUUCUGACGGUACCCAAAGAAUAAGCACCGGCUAACUUCGUG